RNAcentral lists this ribosomal RNA (388 nucleotides) under uncultured bacterium. RNAcentral's name for it is "bacterial SSU rRNA". It matches the Rfam family "Bacterial small subunit ribosomal RNA", at positions 29 to 417 of the family's 1533-position model. The record is from RNAcentral.
AUUGAACGCUGGCGGCGUGCCUAACACAUGCAAGUCGAGCGGUAACAGGUGUAGCAAUACAUGCUGACGAGCGGCGGACGGGUGAGUAACGCUUGGGAAUCUGCCUGUUAGUGGGGGACAACCCGGGGAAACUCGGGCUAAUACCGCAUACGCACUACGGUGGAAAGCCGGGGACCGCAAGGCCUGGCGCUAACAGAUGAGCCCAAGUCGGAUUAGCUAGUUGGUAGGGUAACGGCCACCAAGGCGACGAUCCGUAACUGGUCUGAGAGGACGACCAGUCACACCGGAACUGAGACACGGUCCGGACUCCUACGGGAGGCAGCAGUGGGGAAUAUUGGACAAUGGGCGAAGGCCUGAUCCAGCGACGCCGCGUGGGUGAAGAAGGCCU